GUUCUCCACGUCCCCACCAGACUCAGGAGCCCAGCUGGCUUCACCCAGUGGAUCCCGCACCGGGGCUGCAGAUAGAGCUGCCUGCCAGUCCGGCGCCCUGCGCCCGCACUCCUCAGCCCUUGGGUGGUCGACGGGACUGGGCGCCGUGGAGCAGGGGGCGGCGCUUAUCGGGGAGGCUCGGACGGCACAGGAGCCCGUGGAGGGGGUGGGAGGCUCAGGCAUGGCGGGCUGCAGGUCCCAAGCCCUGCCCUGCGGGAAGGCAGCCAAGGCCCGGUGAGAAAUCGAGCGCAGCGCCGGUGGGCUGGCACUGCUGGGGGAUCCAGUACACCCUCCGCAGCCGCUGGCCUGGGUGCUAAGCCCCUCAUUGCCCGGGGCCGGCAGGACCGGCCGGCUGCUCCAAGUGCCGGGCCCGCCAAGCCCACGCCCACCCGGAACUCCAGCUGGCCCGCAAGCGCCGCGCGCAGCCCGGGUUCCCGCUCGCGCCUCUCCCUCCACACCUCCCUGCAAGCAGAGGGAGCCGACUCCGGCCUUGGCCAGCCCAGAAAGGGGCUCUCGCAGUGCUGCGGUGGGCUGAAGGCCUCCUCAAGUGUCGCCAAAGUGGGAGCCCAGGCAGAGGAGGCGCCGAGAGCGACCGAGGGCUGUGAGGACUCCUAGCGCGCUGUCACCUCUCACCAAUAUCUAAGGUGACCAUUAUUCCCGGCUUCCAGAGGCCACUCCCAUUCCUUGGCUUGUGCACCACCCCCUUCUUUUUCAUCUUCAAACAUGACAAUGCUACCUUCUUUUACCAUGAGUUUCAGCCCUCCCCACAGAAAAAGUCUGUGUCAGAUUUUCAGGUGCCCUAAGCCUUAAAGCUUCUACCUAUUAUCUACUUUGAUCUGGAUCAGAGUGGGAGAAUGGAAUCUUUUCUUCUCAAAACACACAGCAUUGGGGUGGAUAACAAUCCCUGAUGGAUGUUCAUCUUCCCAACAUGCCUGGACUGUGGGCAGGAUCAUUCAAACAGUGGAGUGACAGGGAGGUGAGGAUUGUCCGGGAAGCCAUUCAUGCUAACCUCACUAAUAUAAACAAGUUUUCAAGACCCCCACGUUCAGGGACCUGGAAGAGAAGCCACGUAUGAAACUGUUCCAAAUUAGGCAAAAAGGUGAGCUGUUUCUAAGCCUAUACUGAGAGAGAAACUUAAAUGGAAGAAAAAAUAGUCCAGAGGCUUUAAAUGUGUAAAUGAGUGAGUUGUAUAAUAGUGGAUGUUGAGACAACCUAACAGAGUUAAUACUUUGAGGGAAAGAGGCGAGAAACAGAGCCUAAAAUGAUUGGAGUCAAAUAAUUGUCACCAUUAGUUCAAAUAUUUAUAUUUUAAUACGUGGUUAAGAUACUCGGGAGGGAAUCCAGGUGCUUCUGUACUACCUACUUUGGUUGUUCUUUUCCCUUGACUCUGUUACAACUACUUUUUCUUCUCACUUAACUGUUCUGCAUUUUUUCCUACCUUCACUCUCUCUCAUGGACUUAGCUAACAGCCUCAAGAAUGCUUUCUCUCUAUGAAAUGUGUCUUCUAAUUUUAAUUUGUUUGUGUUCUUUGUGUUAAUAUGUCACUUACAUCAUUAAUGGUGAUAAUUUACAUCGAACAUUCUAAAUGAGAUGUAUGUGAGUUAUUAACUGGAAUCUUUUGACUGUAUUGUGGUAAAGUAUGGUGAAAACCUGUAUUUAGAAAGAUUUUAUAGUAAGGGACCUUCAUUUUUAAUGAUUAAUGAAAGAGAAAAAACAAUAUACUGAUCCUCCACAGGAAUUUACAUUUAAUUGGUAAAAACUUACAUCAAAUAAUAUCUUCAAACCCCACUGAUGUUUGUGUUUAAAGUACAGUGAAGGAUUUAGAAUGUCCCCACUCGACUCUCCUAUAAAUAAGUGUGAGGCAGGUUUUGGUCAUGAUUGUAAUAGAGAUAGAGAUAUAACUCUUUUGUUUGACAUAUGUAGUAUUGCCAUGUGCUAAAGUAUGAAAUGAGAUCUGGAGAGAUCUUCUGAUUAACAAAUGGUUUUUGAAAUUUUAAUGGUAAGAUAUAAAUUAUGUUGUAACAGAAUUUUUAAGAGAGCAGUAACUUCUAACAUUUAAUCAUAUAAUAUUUUGCUUCAAAAAUAGGAUAACAGAUUAAUUGAUUUCAUGAGCAAAUGAAUCCUAGUCAAAUGUGCGUGGUUUACACAGAACCAUCCAGGGUGGUCCAGGAGAUGAGAAUUUUCUCCUCUAUAAGCAUUCUUUUCUGCCAUGCUUGCCUGUACAUGGACAUUUGUAGAAACAUUUUUAUUUUGACUUACCUAUUUGCUUAAAAUUUUCUAUUGUAUUUAUUUUUGGAAGUAGAAUGUUAAUGUUAUACAAAUAAUCUAAUAAUUUUGGCAAACAUACAAUCAAAGUAGGGGGAUAGUAUAGAGUUAAAGCAUGGCCGUAAGAAUACAAUUCAAAAAGUGGUAUUUUAUCUCCUUAUUAAUAUUCAUCAUUUAACACUGAUUAAAUGUAAACACAAUUAGUCCCACAAUUUGUAAUAUCUAAUUUUGCUUUUUAGUACUAUAAAUGUGGAGGAGUUUCACUCUUUUGUUUAAUGUUAUUCAUUUAC
Long non-coding RNA from Pan troglodytes (chimpanzee), 2594 nucleotides. RefSeq lists it as uncharacterized. NCBI's taxonomy places the organism in Eukaryota, Metazoa, Chordata, Mammalia, Primates, Hominidae. The record is from RefSeq and is a predicted model, not a curated record. The transcript has 3 exons.